CGGGGGGCUGCCGCCCAGCGCUGAUUGACAGCCCGCCUCGCCAAUGCCUGGAGGGAGAAAGGAGCGUUUCUUCUCCCUGGCUUCUGAAAACUGCUAAAUGAGGACACGUGGAUCACCAGGAAGAAAAGGAGAUGAGCAUGAGAGGGACAGUUAAGAAAUAAUGAAAUGCUGGUGAAAGACAGAAUGAGAUGCCAAGGAGAUGUUUCUUAGGCACUGAAAGGGCGUGGCGGCUCUAGAACCAGAGACACACAGCCUAGAAGGGAAAGAAGCAGUCUAACUGAAUAGUGACGGAGAUCUCAGUUCAUCCAAAUACAUCAUCCAUUCACCCAGCCCAAGGAGCCUCAGACUUGCAACGUGGUCAAGGAUGACCUUGAACUUCUGACUCUCCUGCCUGUAACUCUCAAUUGCUGGAGUUGUGUUUUAGGGUUUUUGCAGUGGGUGAUCAAAUGCAGGGCCUGUGCUUCC
Molecule: long non-coding RNA, 465 nt
Organism: Psammomys obesus (fat sand rat)
Lineage: Eukaryota; Metazoa; Chordata; Mammalia; Rodentia; Muridae
Exons: 4
Source: RefSeq, a predicted model, not a curated record